RNAcentral lists this transfer RNA (65 nucleotides) under Sclerodermus sichuanensis. RNAcentral describes it as "tRNA-Gly". Lineage: Eukaryota; Metazoa; Arthropoda; Insecta; Hymenoptera; Bethylidae. RNAcentral also lists the same sequence under 1 other name. The record is from RNAcentral.
AUUUAUAUAGUAUAAAAAGUGCAACUAAUUUCCAAUUAGUAAGUUUAAUAUUCUUAAUAUAAAUA